RNAcentral lists this transfer RNA (72 nucleotides) under Camelus bactrianus (Bactrian camel). It matches the Rfam family "tRNA". From Rfam's summary of the family: Transfer RNA (tRNA) molecules are approximately 80 nucleotides in length. Their secondary structure includes four short double-helical elements and three loops (D, anti-codon, and T loops). Lineage: Eukaryota; Metazoa; Chordata; Mammalia; Artiodactyla; Camelidae. RNAcentral also lists the same sequence under 1 other name. The record is from Rfam by way of RNAcentral.
GGGGGUUUGGCUCAGUGGUAGAGUGCGUGCUUGGCAUGCAUAAGGUCCUGGGUUCAAUCUCCAAUGCCUCUA